GGCUCACGCGUGGCCGGGAAGGCAAGAGGGCUCCUGUGAGAGGCAAAUUGGCUCAUCUCCAACUCGAUCCCUGUUCGCCACUGCCUCACGAGCUCUUUGGCCACUUCCGCAAUUCCAGGUUGCGCUGUUGACGGAAACGCGCUGACAAAUGAGAACGGUAAGGCCCGAUUAGAGGAGGCCUUGGGUCAGUGGUACAAUACUAUAGACAGUUUUGUCGACCAACUCAUAAAACAAGCGAAGGAGUCUGUACAGAAGAAGUAAACAGUCGAGUUUGAAAAUGCAAGAGGAGUUUCCAGCAGAGCUCAGUUACAAACGAGCUAGCUGCCGAACGUUUAUGGGCUCAACUACAGACUGAUCCCCUUCCAGGAUUCCUUUUCCAAGCACGUAAUUUGCGGCCUCCGAAGUAUGGUAUGGAUCCCAGAAAAAAUGUUCCGUCCUGUUGGAGCAAACCGAGACAGAAGGGAUGCAUGAGAUCAGACCUCUGUAUGGGCCACCAGCGCCACAGCAGGCCGUGUCGCUGUUUGCAAAUCCUGCAAGGGGGAGGAACAUUCAGCUCAGAAACUUCAAAACUUCACAAGCAUGGCGAAGCUCCUACCGUAAGUUUGAAUAUCUUUGUAUUCUAUGAUGUGUAGCAACUGUUGGGAAAGGAUGGGAAAGCUGGCAUCAAUCAGUUUGUUGCGGUAGCCCAUGGAUAGAUGUAUGACAUUAUAGUCAGCAUUCCAGAAUCAAUCCUAAGAUAAAUUUGUUUAGUA
This is a long non-coding RNA of Selaginella moellendorffii, 752 nucleotides long. RefSeq lists it as uncharacterized. The transcript is spliced from 2 exons. The record is from RefSeq and is a predicted model, not a curated record. NCBI's taxonomy places the organism in Eukaryota, Viridiplantae, Streptophyta, Lycopodiopsida, Selaginellales, Selaginellaceae.